UGUCCACAUAAAGUCAUGAUAUCUUAAAAAAUAACGACGAGGGGCUAUGUCGAAAAAAACCAAUAAAAGGGAGAUAACUUCUAAAGGGGAUGAUGAAAUCCUUAACAGGGUCAUCUGGUAAUACUUCAUGAUGAGGUCUAUCGGUGGUUCAAAUUUGGUCUUGAUAACUUUAAUA
Molecule: long non-coding RNA, 175 nt
Organism: Mytilus californianus (California mussel)
Lineage: Eukaryota; Metazoa; Mollusca; Bivalvia; Mytilida; Mytilidae
Exons: 2
Source: RefSeq, a predicted model, not a curated record